This 63-nucleotide transfer RNA is filed under the name Podarcis lilfordi (Lilford's wall lizard). RNAcentral describes it as "tRNA.Undet". The stretch from base 4 to 55 matches the Rfam family "tRNA", at positions 8 to 63 of the family's 71-position model. Rfam says of the family: Transfer RNA (tRNA) molecules are approximately 80 nucleotides in length. The record is from RNAcentral. Lineage: Eukaryota; Metazoa; Chordata; Lepidosauria; Squamata; Lacertidae.
GGAUAGCUUAAUGGGUAGAGCAUGAGACUCUCAGAGUCAUGGGUUCGAGCCCCAUGUUGGGCA